This 413-nucleotide ribosomal RNA is filed under the name uncultured prokaryote. RNAcentral's name for it is "bacterial SSU rRNA". It matches the Rfam family "Bacterial small subunit ribosomal RNA", at positions 505 to 918 of the family's 1533-position model. The record is from RNAcentral.
GUGUCAGCCGCCGCGGUAAUACGAAGGUGGCUAGCGUUAUUCGGUAUCACUGGGCGUAAAGGGUGUGUAGGCGUCCCGGUAAGUCUCUGGUGAAAGCCUUCCGCUCAACGGAAGAAUUGCCAGAGAUACUGUCGGGAUUGAGUCCGGGAGAGGGGAGCGGAAUUCCUGGUGUAGCGGUGAAAUGCGUAGAUAUCAGGAAGAACGCCAGAGGCGAAGGCGGCUCCCUAGCCCGGUACUGACGCUGAGGCACGAAAGCGUGGGGUGCGAACGGGAUUAGAUACCCCGGUAGUCCACGCCCUAAACGAUGGAUGCUAGGUGUUGGAUCCGAGAGGAUUCAGCGCCGAAGCUAACGCGUUAAGCAUCCCGCCUGGGGACUACGGCCGCAAGGCUGAAACUCAAAUGAAUUGGCGGGG